RNAcentral lists this ribosomal RNA (565 nucleotides) under uncultured cyanobacterium. RNAcentral describes it as "bacterial SSU rRNA". It matches the Rfam family "Bacterial small subunit ribosomal RNA", at positions 338 to 916 of the family's 1533-position model. Lineage: Bacteria; Bacillati; Cyanobacteriota. The record is from RNAcentral.
CCUACGGGAGGCGGCAGUGGGGAAUUUUCCGCAAUGGGCGAAAGCCUGACGGAGCAAUACCGCGUGAGGGAAGACUGCCUAUGGGUUGUAAACCUCUUUUUUCAGGGAGGAAUCAAUGACGUGUACCUGAAGAAUAAGCAUCGGCUAACUCCGUGCCAGCAGCCGCGGUAAGACGGAGGAUGCAAGUGUUAUCCGGAAUCACUGGGCGUAAAGCGUCUGUAGGUGGUUUAAUAAGUCAACUGUUAAAUCUUGAGGCUCAACUUCAAAAUCGCAGUCGAAACUAUUAGACUAGAGUAUAGUAGAGGUAAAGGGAAUUUCCAGUGGAGCGGUGAAAUGCGUAGAUAUUGGAAAGAACACCGAUGGCGAAAGCACUUUACUGGGCUAUUACUAACACUCAGAGACGAAAGCUAGGGUAGCAAAUGGGAUUAGAUACCCCAGUAGUCCUAGCCGUAAACAAUGGAUACUAGAUGUUGAACAGAUCGACCUGUGCAGUAUCAAAGCUAACGCGUUAAGUAUCCCGCCUGGGAAGUAUGCUCGCAAGAGUGAAACUCAAAGGAAUUGACGG